GACGAACGCUGGCGGCGUGCCUAAUACAUGCAAGUAGAACGCACAGUUUAUACCGUAGCUUGCUACACCAUAGACUGUGAGUUGCGAACGGGUGAGUAACGCGUAGGUAACCUGCCUGGUAGCGGGGGAUAACUAUUGGAAACGAUAGCUAAUACCGCAUAAUAUUGAUUAUUGCAUGAUAAUUAAUUGAAAGGUGCAAUUGCACCACUACCAGAUGGACCUGCGUUGUAUUAGCUAGUAGGUGAGGUAACGGCUCACCUAGGCGACGAUACAUAGCCGACCUGGGAGGGUGAUCGGCCACACUGGGACUGAGACACGGCCCAGACUCCUACGGGAGGCAGCAGUAGGGAAUCUUCGGCAAUGGACGAAAGUCUGACCGAGCAACGCCGCGGGAGUGAAGAAGGGUUUCGGAUCGUAAAGCUCUGUUGUAAGAGAAGAACGGGUGUGAGAGUGGAAAGUUCACACUGUGACGGUAUCUUACCAGAAAGGGACGGCUAACUACGUG
This 505-nucleotide ribosomal RNA is filed under the name uncultured bacterium. RNAcentral's name for it is "partial 16S ribosomal RNA". It matches the Rfam family "Bacterial small subunit ribosomal RNA", at positions 28 to 507 of the family's 1533-position model. The record is from RNAcentral.